AGCAGCCGCGGUAAUUCCAGCUCCAAUAGCGUAUAUUAAAGUUGUUGCAGUUAAAAGCUCGUAGUUGAAUUUCGGGAUUGGCGCAUCGGUCGUGCCUUACGGGGUAUGAACUGGUGCAGUCAAUUUCUCACCUUCUGGAGAACCGCGAUGUCCUUAAUUGGGUGCCGCGGGGAACCAGGACCUUUACUUUGAAAAAUUAGAGUGUUUAAAGCAGGCAUUUUUGCUUGAAUACACUAGCAUGGAAUAAUAAAAUAGGACGGCAUGGUUCUAUUUUGUUGGUUUCUAGGACCACCGUAAUGAUUAAUAGGGAUAGUUGGGGGCAUUAGUAUUCAAUUGUCAGAGGUGAAAUUCUUGGAUUUAUUGAAGACUAACUACUGCGAAAGCAUUUGCCAAGGAUGUUUUCAUUAAUCAAGAACGAAAGUUAGGGAUCGAAGACGAUCAGAUACCGUCGUAGUCUUAACCAUAAACUAUGCCGACUAGGAAUCAGACGAUGUUAAUUUUUAAUGUACUCGUUUGGCAC
RNAcentral lists this ribosomal RNA (520 nucleotides) under uncultured Entrophospora. RNAcentral's name for it is "SSU rRNA". It matches the Rfam family "Eukaryotic small subunit ribosomal RNA", at positions 569 to 1086 of the family's 1831-position model. Lineage: Eukaryota; Fungi; Glomeromycota; Glomeromycetes; Entrophosporales; Entrophosporaceae. The record is from RNAcentral.